Molecule: transfer RNA, 68 nt
Filed under: Rhinolophus ferrumequinum tragatus
Lineage: Eukaryota; Metazoa; Chordata; Mammalia; Chiroptera; Rhinolophidae
Description: tRNA-Ser
Source: RNAcentral
GAGAAAGACAUAGUGGAUAUGAUGUUGGCUUGAAACCAAUAUAAGGGGGUUCGAUUCCUUCCUUUCUU